UGGGGAAUAUUGCGCAAUGGGCGAAAGCCUGACGCAGCGACGCCGCGUGAGGGAUGAAGGUUUUCGGAUCGUAAACCUCUGUCAGAAGGGAAGAAACCGCACUGUGCUAAUCAGCAGUGCCUUGACGGUACCUUCAAAGGAAGCACCGGCUAACCCCGUGCCAGCAGCCGCGGUAAUACGGAGGGUGCAAGCGUUAAUCGGAAUUACUGGGCGUAAAGCGCACGUAGGCUGCUUUGUAAGUCAGGGGUGAAAUCCCACGGCUCAACCGUGGAACUGCCUUGGAUACUGCUUAGCUUGAAUCCGGGAGAGGGUGGCGGAAUUCCAGGUGUAGGAGUGAAAUCCGUAGAUAUCUGGAGGAACAUCAGUGGCGAAGGCGACCACCUGGACCGGUAUUGACGCUGAGGUGCGAAAGCGUGGGGAGCAAACAGG
Molecule: ribosomal RNA, 429 nt
Filed under: Fusobacteriota bacterium
Lineage: Bacteria; Fusobacteriati; Fusobacteriota
Description: Fusobacteria bacterium partial 16S ribosomal RNA
Rfam family: Bacterial small subunit ribosomal RNA
Source: RNAcentral